Molecule: ribosomal RNA, 249 nt
Filed under: uncultured bacterium
Lineage: Bacteria
Description: partial 16S ribosomal RNA
Rfam family: Bacterial small subunit ribosomal RNA
Source: RNAcentral
UACGAGGGGGGGCGAGCGUUUGUUCGGAAUUACUGGGCGUAAAGCGUGCGCAGGCGGUCUGUUAAGACCGAUGUGAAAUCCCCGGGCUUAACCUGGGAACUGCAUUGGUGACUGGCAGGCUUUGAGUGUGGCAGAGGGAGGUAGAAUUCCACGUGUAGCAGUGAAAUGCGUAGAGAUGUGGAGGAAUACCGAUGGCGAAGGCAGCCUCCUGGGCCAACACUGACGCUCAUGCACGAAAGCGUGGGGAGC